RNAcentral lists this ribosomal RNA (262 nucleotides) under uncultured bacterium. Its description in RNAcentral is "partial 16S ribosomal RNA". It matches the Rfam family "Bacterial small subunit ribosomal RNA", at positions 793 to 1055 of the family's 1533-position model. The record is from RNAcentral.
GUCCACACCAUAAACUAUGAACACUAGGUGUUGGAAGGAUAAAACCUUUCAGUGCCGAAGCUAACGCAUUAAGUGUUCCGCCUGGGGAGUACGAUCGCAAGGUUGAAACUCAAAGGAAUUGACGGGGGCCCGCACAAGCGGUGGAGCAUGUGGUUUAAUUCGAUGCAACGCGAAGAACCUUACCGGGGCUUGAACUGCAGUGGCCAUCCCAGGAAACUGGGCUCUCUUCGGAGCUGCUGUAGAGGUGCUGCAUGGCUGUCGU